Molecule: ribosomal RNA, 254 nt
Filed under: uncultured bacterium
Lineage: Bacteria
Description: partial 16S ribosomal RNA
Rfam family: Bacterial small subunit ribosomal RNA
Source: RNAcentral
CGUAGGGUGCGAGCGUUGUCCGGAAUUAUUGGGCGUAAGAGCUUGUAGGCGGUUUGUCGCGUCUGCCGUGAAAUCCCGGGGCUCAACCCCGGACUUGCGGUGGGUACGGGCGAGACUAGAGUGUGGUAGGGAGGACUGGAAUUCCUGGUGUAGCGGUGAAAUGCGCAGAUAUCAGGAGGAACACCGAUGGCGAAGGCAGGUCUCUGGGCCACUACUGACGCUGAGAAGCGAAAGCGUGGGGAGCGAACAGGAUU